AAACGAUGGAUGCUAGGUGUGGGAGGUAUCGACCCCUUCCGUGCCGGAGUAAACGCAAUAAGCAUCCCGCCUGGGGAGUACGACCGCAAGGUUGAAACUCAAAGGAAUUGACGGGGGCCCGCACAAGCAGCGGAGCGUGUGGUUUAAUUCGAAGCAACGCGAAGAACCUUACCAAGGCUUGACAUCCCCCGCUAUCUCGGGAAACCGGGAGUUCCCUUCGGGGACGGGGAGACAGGUGGUGCACGGUUGUCGUCAGCUCGUGUCGUGAGAUGUUGGGUUAAGUCCCGCAACGAGCGCAACCCUUGUACUUAGUUGCCAGCAUUAAGUUGGGCACUCUAGGUAGACUGCCGGUGACAAACCGGAGGAAGGUGGGGAUGACGUCAAAUCAUCAUGCCCCUUAUGUCUUGGGCUACACACGCGCUACAAUGGUCUGUACAAAGGGAAGCGAGGUCGCGAGACGGAGCGGAUCCCAUAAAACAGAUCUCAGUUCAGAUUGCAGGCUGCAACUCGCCUGCAUGAAGUCGGAGUUGCUAGUAAUCGCGGAUCAGAACGCCGCGGUGAAUGCGUUCCCGGGCCUUGUACACACCGCCCGUCACACCACGAAAGUCUGCAACACCCGAAGUCGGUGAGCUAACCGCAAGGAGGCAGCCGCCGAAGGUGGGGCCGGUAAUUGGGGUGAAGUCGUAACAAGGUAACCGUA
This 700-nucleotide ribosomal RNA is filed under the name uncultured bacterium. RNAcentral describes it as "bacterial SSU rRNA". It matches the Rfam family "Bacterial small subunit ribosomal RNA", at positions 804 to 1504 of the family's 1533-position model. The record is from RNAcentral.